This 2679-nucleotide ribosomal RNA is filed under the name human oral metagenome. RNAcentral describes it as "bacterial LSU rRNA". It matches the Rfam family "Bacterial large subunit ribosomal RNA". The record is from RNAcentral.
AGGGCGCACGGUGGAUGCCUUGGUACUAGGAGCCGAAGAAGGACGGAACUAACACCGAUAUGCUUUGGGGAGCUGUAAGUAAGCUAAGAUCCAAAGAUUUCCGAAUGGGGGAACCCAACACCUUUCAUAGGGUGUUACCAAUGAGUGAAUACAUAGCUCAUUAGGAGGUACACGCAGGGAACUGAAACAUCUCAUUACCUGCAGGAAGAGAAAGAAAAAUCGAUUCCCUGAGUAGCGGCGAGCGAAACGGGAGGAGCCCAAACCAACGAGCUUGCUUGUUGGGGUUGUAGGACUAGAACGUGAGAAGAAAUCAAGAUAGCAGAAGUGGUCUGGAAAGGCCCAUCAAAGAAGGUGACAAUCCUGUACGCGACAUCUUGAUGAACUCUACUAGCAUCCUGAGUACGGCGGGACACGAGGAAUCCCGUCGGAAUCCGCCAGGACCAUCUGGCAAGGCUAAAUACUACCUAGUGACCGAUAGUGAACCAGUACCGUGAGGGAAAGGUGAAAAGAACCCCGGGAGGGGAGUGAAAGAGUACCUGAAACCGUGUGCUUACAAGUAGUCAGAGCCCGUUAAUGGGUGAUGGCGUGCCUUUUGUAGAAUGAACCGGCGAGUUACGUUUACAUGCGAGGUUAAGAUGAAGAGUCGGAGCCGUAGCGAAAGCGAGUCUGAAUAGGGCGCAUGUAGUAUGUGGACGUAGACCCGAAACCAAGUGAUCUACCCAUGUCCAGGUUGAAGGUGCGGUAAAACGCACUGGAGGACCGAACCAGGGCACGUUGAAAAGUGCUUGGAUGACUUGUGGGUAGCGGAGAAAUUCCAAACGAACUUGGAGAUAGCUGGUUCUCUCCGAAAUAGCUUUAGGGCUAGCGUCGACAUAGAGAUUCUUGGAGGUAGAGCACUGUUUGGGUGAGGGGUCCAUCCCGGAUUACCAAUCUCAGAUAAACUCCGAAUGCCAAUGAAUUAUGGUCGGCAGUCAGACUGCGAGUGCUAAGAUCCGUAGUCGAAAGGGAAACAGCCCAGACCACCAGCUAAGGUCCCAAAAUAAUUGUUAAGUGGAAAAGGAUGUGGGGUUGCACAGACAACUAGGAUGUUAGCUUAGAAGCAGCUAUUCAUUCAAAGAGUGCGUAAUAGCUCACUAGUCGAGUGACCCUGCGCCGAAAAUGUACCGGGGCUAAAACAAUUUACCGAAGCUGUGGAUACCUUUUAUAGGUAUGGUAGGAGAGCGUUCUAUGUGUGAAGAAGGUAUACCGUGAGGAGUGCUGGAACGCAUAGAAGUGAGAAUGCCGGUAUGAGUAGCGAAAGACAGGUGAGAAUCCUGUCCACCGUAAGACUAAGGUUUCCAGGGGAAGGCUCGUCCGCCCUGGGUUAGUCGGGACCUAAGGAGAGACCGAAAGGUGUAUCCGAUGGACAACAGGUUGAUAUUCCUGUACUAGAGUAUGAAGUGAUGGAGGGACGCAGUAGGCUAACUAAAGCAGACGAAUGGAAGAGUCUGUCUAAGCAGUGAGGUGUGAAUUGAGUCAAAUGCUUAAUUCUAUAACAUUGAGCUGUGAUGGGGAGCGAAGUUUAGUAGCGAAGUUAGUGACGUCACACUGCCAAGAAAAGCUUCUAGCGUUUAAACAUACUCUACCCGUACCGCAAACCGACACAGGUAGUCGAGGCGAGUAGCCUCAGGUGAUCGAGAGAACUCUCGUUAAGGAACUCGGCAAAAUGACCCCGUAACUUCGGGAGAAGGGGUGCUGGUAGCAAUACCAGCCGCAGUGAAUAGGCCCAGGCGACUGUUUAUCAAAAACACAGGUCUCUGCAAAAUCGAAAGAUGACGUAUAGGGGCUGACGCCUGCCCGGUGCUGGAAGGUUAAGAGGAGAGGUUAGCCGCAAGGCGAAGCUUUGAAUUGAAGCCCCAGUAAACGGCGGCCGUAACUAUAACGGUCCUAAGGUAGCGAAAUUCCUUGUCGGGUAAGUUCCGACCCGCACGAAAGGCGUAAUGAUUUGGGCACUGUCUCAACGAGAGACUCGGUGAAAUUUUAGUACCUGUGAAGAUGCAGGUUACCCGCGACAGGACGGAAAGACCCCAUGGAGCUUUACUGUAGUUUGAUAUUGAGUGUUUGUGUCACAUGUACAGGAUAGGUAGGAGCUGAAGAAUCCGGGACGCCAGUUUCGGAGGAGGCAACGGUGGGAUACUACCCUUGUGACAUGACCACUCUAACCCGCACCCCUCACCGGGGUGGGAGACAGUGUCAGACGGGCAGUUUGACUGGGGCGGUCGCCUCCUAAAAUGUAACGGAGGCGCCCAAAGGUUCCCUCAGAAUGGUUGGAAAUCAUUCGAAGAGUGUAAAGGCAGAAGGGAGCUUGACUGCGAGACCAACAAGUCGAGCAGGGACGAAAGUCGGGCUUAGUGAUCCGGUGGUACCGUAUGGAAGGGCCAUCGCUCAACGGAUAAAAGCUACCCUGGGGAUAACAGGCUUAUCUCCCCCAAGAGUUCACAUCGACGGGGAGGUUUGGCACCUCGAUGUCGGCUCGUCGCAUCCUGGGGCUGUAGUCGGUCCCAAGGGUUGGGCUGUUCGCCCAUUAAAGCGGUACGCGAGCUGGGUUCAGAACGUCGUGAGACAGUUCGGUCCCUAUCCGUCGCGGGCGUUGGAAAUUUGAGAGGAGCUGUCCUUAGUACGAGAGGACCGGGAUGGACA